Molecule: unclassified non-coding RNA, 268 nt
Filed under: uncultured Alphaproteobacteria bacterium
Lineage: Bacteria; Pseudomonadati; Pseudomonadota; Alphaproteobacteria
Description: contains 16S-23S intergenic spacer region
Source: RNAcentral
UCCGGCUUGUCGCCGGCGGUCCCUUUAGAGUGCCGAACUGAAGAGCUCCAUCUCUGAUGCUCAUACGGGACAUGUCAAAAGUUGGUAAGGUUCUGCGCGUUGCUUCGAAUUGAACCACAUGCUCCACCGCUUGUGCGGGCCCCCGUCAAUUCCUUUGAGUUUUAAUCUUGCGACCGUACUCCCCAGGCGGGAUGCUUAAUGCGUUAGCUGCGCCACUGACAGGCAAGCCUGCCAACGGCUAGCAUCCAUCGUUUACGGCGUGGACUAC